ACUCCUACGGGAGGCAGCAGUAGGGAAUCUUCCGCAAUGGGCGAAAGCCUGACGGAGCGACGCCGCGUGAGCGAAGAAGGCCUUCGGGUCGUAAAGCUCUGUUGUGAGGGACGAAGGAGCGCCGUUCGAAGAGGGCGGCGCGGUGACGGUACCUCACGAGAAAGCCCCGGCUAACUACGUGCCAGCAGCCGCGGUAAUACGUAGGGGGCGAGGCGUUGUCCGGAAUUAUUGGGCGUAAAGCGCGCGCAGGCGGUCUCUUAAGUCUGAUGUGAAAGCCCACGGCUCAACCGUGGAGGGUCAUUGGAAACUGGGGACUUGAGGGCAGGAGGAGGAGAGCGGAAUUCCACGUGUAGCGGUGAAAUGCGUAGAGAUGUGGAGGAACACCAGUGGCGAAGGCGGCUCUCUGGCCUGCACCUGACGCUGAGGCGCGAAAGCGUGGGGAGCAAACAGGAUUAGAUACCCUGUA
RNAcentral lists this ribosomal RNA (466 nucleotides) under uncultured bacterium. RNAcentral's name for it is "bacterial SSU rRNA". It matches the Rfam family "Bacterial small subunit ribosomal RNA", at positions 335 to 791 of the family's 1533-position model. The record is from RNAcentral.